UAGAUACCCUAUUAUUUGAAAUGUAAUUUAUUUACUAAAGUAGUAGUAGUUAUGUUCUUGAAACUUAAAAAAUUUGGCGGUAUUUUAGUCUAUUCAGAGGAACCUGUCCUAUAAUCGAUAAUCCACGUUGGACCUYACUUAAAUUUGUUUUCAGUAUGUAUACCGUCGUUAUAAGAAUAUUUUAUAAGAAUAAUAAUUUUCUAGAUUUUUUAUAAAAAUUUAUAUCAGAUCAAGGUGCAGCUUAUAUUUAAGUAGAGAUGGGUUACAAUAAUAAUAUUUAUACGGAUUAAUUUUUGAAAUAUAAUUAUGAAGGUGGAUUUGAAUGUAAAAUUAUAAAGAUUAAUAAUUUGAUUUUAGCU
This 359-nucleotide ribosomal RNA is filed under the name Themira flavicoxa. RNAcentral describes it as "partial 12S ribosomal RNA". Lineage: Eukaryota; Metazoa; Arthropoda; Insecta; Diptera; Sepsidae. The record is from RNAcentral.